UUUCAUCAAUUUGUUUAACCAGCCAACCCAACUAGCUCCAACUAUACAUCAUUCUCGGUUGAUGCGACGACAUUUCAUGCUACAACUACUGUCACAUCUGGUCUCAUUAAUGACAUGGAGGUACAAGAUGUGGUCUUGAAUAACACCCAAGAAACAAAG
Aegilops tauschii subsp. strangulata is the source of this 159-nucleotide non-coding RNA. NCBI's taxonomy places the organism in Eukaryota, Viridiplantae, Streptophyta, Magnoliopsida, Poales, Poaceae. The record is from RefSeq and is a predicted model, not a curated record.